RNAcentral lists this long non-coding RNA (1188 nucleotides) under Vigna radiata. RNAcentral's name for it is "long non-coding RNA (VRAD_LNC002680)". The record is from RNAcentral. Lineage: Eukaryota; Viridiplantae; Streptophyta; Magnoliopsida; Fabales; Fabaceae.
UUUUUGUACUAAUGCUAUAACAAAUUAAUGGCUUUAUUGUCAAAAUAAGGGGUGAGACUGGAAACAAGUAGAAAAGAAGAAGCUAGAGACAACUCUAAAGGCUUUAAGAUUGCCAAGAAAUCCCGUAGUUAUUGUCAAGAACAAAAUGAAGUAACGAAAGGAUAAUACUAUUAUACUAGACAUAUAGAAAAAUGAUUAUCUAAGAUAGAAAAUAGAAAGUAAUCACCCUUACUUUUUAUACUAGUAAUAUAGUAUUAGUCUCUUAAUUCUUGAUAUUCUUGAUAAUCUAGAUGUGCGUCAUUUUAGAGUAUUUUAAAGUCUUCUGAUAUACCUUUUCCAACCUACAAUGCCAAAGUGGCGGCUCAUUUAACUAGGGGAAUGGGUUGAAAGAUAGAGAAAGAUAGAGACAAUGAGGUUGAAAUACAAAAGACACUAUCAUUACUCCAAAUUAGUUUCAGUCACCGAUCCAUCAAAAAUGCCUAACAGGACCGUCUCUUGCCAUGCUCUGCANCAAAUAAACAUUACAAGCACUAUAGAAAACAAUAAAACAAAUAUAAAUUGAGAAUUACAAAUACCUAAUCGACAGUAGAAAAGGUAUAGUGAAAAAGGUACAAAUACCUAAAUCAAGUGGAGAGGAAGGGUCAUGUACAGUUGGUGUUGGUGGAAGUAAAAGCCGCCACCGUGACCUAGAGAAGAAGACAUGUCUGUUAACGGGGAGAACCAGCGAUGGCCAUGGGGUUCGCGCUCGAGAGGAGGAAGAGCAUGGCGACGAUGGCGGCGAUUCCGACUUCGACCAACCAUCUUGGGGUUUGGGUUCAUUCUUCGGUUGGCGUGUUGAGGGAAUGAGAAGAGAAUCGUGCACAUUUGUUUCUCAUCGGCGACGCCUCAGGUAGGGAUUGGUGUUACUAUCGACGAUGUUAACCAAUCGUGGAAGGUCCAAGAAUGGGGAAAAGGUGGGGUUUCGCGGGUUGGGAGAAAUGAGAAGAAAGGUAGUUCGCGACAUUGAUUAAUGUCGGUGACAUUACGGUAGUGACCGAUGCCGGAGGUGACUUUAGUCAGCUGGGAAAGGUGCGGUGAUGCCAAGGAAGCUGAUGACGACAAGGGUUUAGAAGAAGGAAAAAAGGUCUUUGUCAUUUUUUGAAAGAGAGGAGGGAAGAAGGGUCUUGGUCAUUUUCGAAAGAGUGAAAC